UGGGGAAUUUUGGACAAUGGGCGAAAGCCUGAUCCAGCAAUGCCGCGUGUGUGAAGAAGGCCUUCGGGUUGUAAAGCACUUUUGUCCGGAAAGAAAUCCUUGGCUCUAAUACAGUCGGGGGAUGACGGUACCGGAAGAAUAAGCACCGGCUAACUACGUGCCAGCAGCCGCGGUAAUACGUAGGGUGUAAGCGUUAAUCGGAAUUACUGGGCGUAAAGCGUGCGCAGGCGGUUUGCUAAGACCGAUGUGAAAAUCCCCGGGCUCAACCUGGGAACUGCAUUGGUGACUGGCAGGCUAGAGUAUGGCAGAGGGGGGUAGAAUUCCACGUGUAGCAGUGAAAAUGCGUAGAGAUGUGGAGGAAUACCGAUGGCGAAGGCAGCCCCCUGGGCCAAAUACUGACGCUCAUGCACGAAAGCGGUGGGGAGCAAACAGGAUUAGAUACCCUGGUAGUCCACGCCCUAAACGAUGUCAACUAGUUGUUGGGGAUUCAUUUCCUUAGUAACGUAGCUAACGCGUGAAGUUGACCGCCAUGGGGAGUACGGUCGCAAAGAUUAAAACUUAAAUGAAUUGACGGGGUC
This 578-nucleotide ribosomal RNA is filed under the name uncultured bacterium. RNAcentral describes it as "partial 16S ribosomal RNA". It matches the Rfam family "Bacterial small subunit ribosomal RNA", at positions 355 to 920 of the family's 1533-position model. The record is from RNAcentral.